This 265-nucleotide long non-coding RNA is filed under the name Mytilus galloprovincialis (Mediterranean mussel). Lineage: Eukaryota; Metazoa; Mollusca; Bivalvia; Mytilida; Mytilidae. The record is from RNAcentral.
UUAUCAAAAGCUGAACAAUUAAAAAUGUAAUGGUAUUCAUCACCAAUGGCAUCUGAAUUACACAAUACACAUUUUCUGUUUUCUCUUUCUAUGUUUUGCCAUCUUCCAGUUUCUAUUGGAAAUUUCAUGUUCAAAGUUCGAAAUUUAAGAAAUAAGGAUAUCUGUCAUCCAAAAUAUUUAAAUAUUUCUCAAACUCCAAAGUAUCUUUAAAUAAACGAUAAUUUAAUGCUUUUGGUGAUUCCUGUAGGCUUGCUAGCCAUUUUUG